CCUUUGUACACACCGCCCGUCGCUACUACCGAUUGAAUGGCUUAGUGAGAUCUUCGGAUUGGCUUUGUGGAGUCGGCAACGACACUACGUUGCUGAGAAGUUGAUCAAACUUGGUCAUUUAGAGG
Molecule: ribosomal RNA, 125 nt
Filed under: Laetiporus portentosus
Lineage: Eukaryota; Fungi; Basidiomycota; Agaricomycetes; Polyporales; Laetiporaceae
Description: partial small subunit ribosomal RNA
Rfam family: Eukaryotic small subunit ribosomal RNA
Source: RNAcentral